This 497-nucleotide ribosomal RNA is filed under the name uncultured bacterium. RNAcentral describes it as "partial 16S ribosomal RNA". It matches the Rfam family "Bacterial small subunit ribosomal RNA", at positions 28 to 507 of the family's 1533-position model. The record is from RNAcentral.
GACGAACGCUGGCGGCGUGCCUAAUACAUGCAAGUCGAGCGCUGAAGGUUGGUACUUGUUCCAACUGGAUUAGCAGCGAACGGGUGAGUAACGCGUGGGUAAUCUGCCUUUGAGCGGGGGACAACAUUUGGAAACGAAUGCUAAUACCGCAUAAAAUCUUUAAACACAAGUUUUAAUUUUGAAAGAUGCUAUUGCUUCACUCAAUGAUGAUCCCGCGUUGUAUUUGCUAGUUGGUUAAGUAAAGGCUUACCAAGGCGAACAUACAUAGCCGACCUGAGAAGGUGAUCCGCCAACACGGGAACUGGACACGGGCCAAACCCCCUAGGGAAGGAGCCAUAAGGAAACCUCGGGCAUGGGCGAAAGGCCGAACGGGCCAACGCGGGGGAGUGAAGGAGGGUCUCGGGUCCGAAAACUCUGUUGGUAGGGAAGGAAGUAGGGGGGAGUGAAAAGUUCACCAAGUGACGGUAACUAACCAGAAAGGGACGGCUAACUACGUG